GGCUUCUGGACAGUACUGACGCUGAGAUGCGAAGCGUGGGGAGCAAACAGGAUUAGAUACCUGGUAGUCACGCUGUAAACGAUGUCGAUUUGGAGUUUGUUGCCUAGAGUGAUGGGCUCCGAAGCUAACGCGAUAAAUCGACCGCCUGGGGAGUACGGCCGCAAGGUUAAAACUCAAAUGAAUUGACGGGGGCCCGCACAAGCGGUGGAGCAUGUGGUUUAAUUCGAUGCAACGCGAAGAACCUUACCUGGUCUUGACAUCCAUAGAAUUCUGCAGAGAUGUGGGAGUGCCUUCGGGAACUAUGAGACAGGUGCUGCAUGGCUGUCGUCAGCUCGUGUUGUGAAAUGUUGGGUUAAGUCCCGCAACGAGCGCAACCCUUAUUCUUUGUUGCCAGCGAUUUGGUCGGGAACUCAAAGGAGACUGCCGUUGAUAAAGCGGAGGAAGGUGGGGACGACGUCAAGUCAUCAUGGCCCUUACGACCAGGGCUACACACGUGCUACAAUGGCGUAUACAAAGGGAAGCGAAGGUGCGAGCUGGAGCGGAUCUCAUAAAGUACGUCUAAGUUCGGAUUGGAGUCUGCAACUCGACUCCAUGAAGUCGGAAUCGCUAGUAAUCGUAGAUCAGAAUGCUACGGUGAAUACGUUCCCGGGCCUUGUACACACCGCCCGUCACACCAUGGGAGUGGGUUGCACCAGAAGUAGAUAGCUUAACCGCGAGGGGGGCGUUUACCACGGUGUGAUUCAUGACUGGGGUGAAGUCGUAACAAGGUAACCA
This 774-nucleotide ribosomal RNA is filed under the name uncultured Enterobacteriaceae bacterium. RNAcentral's name for it is "bacterial SSU rRNA". It matches the Rfam family "Bacterial small subunit ribosomal RNA", at positions 724 to 1502 of the family's 1533-position model. Lineage: Bacteria; Pseudomonadati; Pseudomonadota; Gammaproteobacteria; Enterobacterales; Enterobacteriaceae. The record is from RNAcentral.